RNAcentral lists this ribosomal RNA (1435 nucleotides) under uncultured marine bacterium. RNAcentral describes it as "bacterial SSU rRNA". It matches the Rfam family "Bacterial small subunit ribosomal RNA". The record is from RNAcentral.
GAGUUUGAUCAUGGCUCAGAACGUACGCUGGCGGCACGCCUAACACAUGCAAGUCGAACGAAGUAGCAAUACUUAGUGGCAGACGGGUGAGUAACAUGUAGGUAUCUGCCCUUUGGCCUGGAAUAACACGAGGAAACUUGUGCUAAUACCGGAUAAGUCUUUACGGAGAAAGCUUUAUGCACCAUUGGAUGAGCCUGCACUUGAUUAGUUUGUUGGUGGGGUAAUGGCCUACCAAGACUUUGAUCAAUAGCUGAUUUGAGAGGAUGAUCAGCCACAUUGGGACUGAGACACGGCCCAAACUCCUACGGGAGGCAGCAGUGGGGAAUCUUGCACAAUGGAGGAAACUCUGAUGCAGCGAUGCCGCGUGAGUGAAGAAGGCCCUUGGGUUGUAAAGCUCUUUCGUCGGGGAAGAAAAUGACUGUACCCGAAUAAGAAGGUCCGGCUAACUUCGUGCCAGCAGCCGCGGUAAUACGAAGGGACCUAGCGUAGUUCGGAAUUACUGGGCUUAAAGAGUUCGUAGGUGGUUGAAAAAGUUGGUGGUGAAAUCCCAGAGCUUAACUCUGGAACUGCCAUCAAAACUUUUCAGCUAGAGUAUGAUAGAGGAAAGCAGAAUUUCUAGUGUAGAGGUGAAAUUCGUAGAUAUUAGAAAGAAUACCAAUUGCGAAGGCAGCUUUCUGGAUCAUUACUGACACUGAGGAACGAAAGCAUGGGUAGCGAAGAGGAUUAGAUACCCUCGUAGUCCAUGCCGUAAACGAUGUGUGUUAGACGUUGGAAAUUUAUUCUCAGUGUCGCAGCGAAAGCGAUAAACACACCGCCUGGGGAGUACGACCGCAAGGUUAAAACUCAAAUGAAUUGACGGGGACUCGCACAAGUAGUGGAGCAUGUGGUUUAAUUCGAAGAUACGCGCAGAACCUUACCAACACUUGACAUGUUCGUCGCGACUCUAAGAGAUUAGAGUUUUCGGUUCGGCCGGACGAAACACAGGUGCUGCAUGGCUGUCGUCAGCUCGUGUCGUGAGAUGUUGGGUUAAGUCCCGCAAUGAGCGCAACCCUCACUUUUAGUUGCCAUCAUUAAGUUGGGCACUCUGAAAGAACUGCCAGUGAUAAGCUGGAGGAAGGUGGGGAUGACGUCAAGUCCUCAUGGCCCUUACGUGUUGGGCUACACACGUGCUACAAUGGUAUCUACAACAGGAAGCAAGACUGCGAAGUUAAGCAAAUCCCUAAAAGAUACCUCAGUUCGGAUUGCACUCUGCAACUCGAGUGCAUGAAGCUGGAAUUACUAGUAAUCGUGGAUCAGCGUGCCACGGUGAAUGCGUUCCCGGGUCUUGUACACACCGCCCGUCACACCAUGGGAGUUGGUUCUACCUUAAGGCAAGGUUUCAAACCCUUGACCACGGUAUAGUCAGCGACUGGGGUGAAGUCGUAACAAGGUAACC